Molecule: ribosomal RNA, 490 nt
Filed under: uncultured bacterium
Lineage: Bacteria
Description: bacterial SSU rRNA
Rfam family: Bacterial small subunit ribosomal RNA
Source: RNAcentral
AAUGAACGUUGGCGGCGUGGAUUAGGCAUGCAAGUCGAACGGGUCCGGUCUUCGGAUCGGAUCAGUGGCGCAAGGGUGAGUAAGGCGACGGUAACCAGCCCCAUGGUUGGGUAUAGCCGCGGGAAACUGCGGGUAAUCCCCAGCGACGUCCGAAUCGGGCAUCCGAUGCGGACCAAAGUUCCAACGCCGUGGGACGGGCCGUCGUGGUAUUAGGUCGUUGGCGGGGUAACGGCCCACCAAGCCUAUGAUGCCUACCGGGCGUGCGAGCGCGACCCGGCACACUGGGACUGAGACACUGCCCAGACUCCUACGGGAGGCUGCAGUCGAGAAUCUUCGGCAAUGGGCGCAAGCCUGACCGAGCGACGCCGCGUGGAGGAUGAAGGCCUUCGGGUUGUAAACUCCUGUCGAGGGGGAGGAAGGUCGGGUAACCGGCUUGACCGAUCCCUGGAGGAAGCACGGGCUAAGUUCGUGCCAGCAGCCGCCGUAACAC